UACAGAGGGGGCAAGCGUUAUUCGGAAUUAUUGGGCGUAAAGGGCGCGUAGGCGGCUUGGCAAGUGGAAGGUGAAAUCCCUCGGCUUAACCGAGGAACUGCCCUCCAAACUGCUUAGCUUGAGACCGGGAGAGGUGAGUGGAAUUCCCAGUGUAGCGGUGAAAUGCGUAGAUAUUGGGAGGAACACCAAUUGCGAAGGCAGCUGGCUACACAUAUAUUGACACUGAGGCACGAAAGCGUGGGGAUCAAACAGG
This 253-nucleotide ribosomal RNA is filed under the name uncultured bacterium. RNAcentral describes it as "partial 16S ribosomal RNA". It matches the Rfam family "Bacterial small subunit ribosomal RNA", at positions 524 to 776 of the family's 1533-position model. The record is from RNAcentral.